GAAAUGCGAUAAGUAAUGUGAAUUGCAGAAUUCAGUGAAUCAUCGAAUCUUUGAACGCACAUUGCGCCCGCCAGUAUUCUGGCGGGCAUGCCUGUUCGAGCGUCAUUUCAACCAUCAAGCCCUCGGCUUGUGUUGGGGACCUGCGGCUGCCCGCAGGCCCUGAAAAACAGUGGCGGGCUCGCUGUCACACCGAGCGUAGUAGCAUACAUUCUCGCUCAGGGCGUGCUGCGGGUUCCGGCCGUUAAACGACCUUCAUAACCCAAGGUUGACCUCGGAUCAGGUAGGAAGACCCGCUGAACUUAAGC
This 305-nucleotide unclassified non-coding RNA is filed under the name plant metagenome. Its description in RNAcentral is "partial contains 5.8S ribosomal RNA, internal transcribed spacer 2, and large subunit ribosomal RNA". The stretch from base 1 to 105 matches the Rfam family "5.8S ribosomal RNA", at positions 50 to 154 of the family's 154-position model. The record is from RNAcentral.